UAUGAGCGUUGCAAAAAAUUAUCCAACCCAAACCAAAAGAAAAACUCUAAUUUUUCCGUCUUUUCUCGUCUCUGCCUCUCACUCGUCUCUCAUGUGUUCCUCUCUGACUGCAAGAAAAUAGGACAAUGGAGACAAAAUUAUCCAACCCUAGUUUUCUUCUCCAUGUUCUUUCUUUCUCCGUUCUUUUUUUAUCUUCCCCUUUUACCCAAACCCUUCUUUUCCAAUAAUUACAGUCGUUCAGUCGGAUCAUCUGUUCAAUCAGCAAUCCAAGUUUCUUAAAAUUUCCCAAAUCACGAAAACCGGGGUUGGGUCAUUUAUACAUCUAAUUUAAUCGGGUUUGGGUUAGCUGUGGCCUCGAGUGCUUUCACUGGAUCCAGUUUUAUUAUUAAGAAGAAGGGUCUUCAGAGAGCCGGCGCCUCCGAUUGUCGUGCCAGUAAGUAUUAUAUUUUUGUUAAUUUUAGGGUGACACUAUUUACAUCCACAGUAAUUAUUUUUUUAAUCUUAUGUAAAUUUACCUGAAGAGACAUGUAUAAAAUUAAAUUAAAAUAUAUCAUUCUAAAUUCAUCCACUCAUAUUUAUUUUUACUAAAUUCUUUUGAACAUUUUUAUAUUUUUUCAGAAUUUGUGUUUACCUAAAAUAGUAUUUUUUUUUAAAUUUUAAUAUUUUAGUAGGGAUGAAUAUAGGGUAGGAUGAAUAUAUAAAAACCAUGGAUGUAAAUAGCCGUACCCUAAUUUUAUCUCCUUCAUUUUUGUCGCCAAUUGAAGAAAAAAUUUCUGAUUCUAUUGCAUUAUUUUGUGGAAAAAAGGUGAAUUUUGAUGUUGUACCAUUUGCUUCAUUUAUUAUUAAUUUUUUAUUUUGAUUCUGGAUAGUAAUAUUUUUUCUGCAAUUCAUAUUUUCUCCUUGUGAAUAGUAGAAACUAUUUUUCUCAUUAUAUUUAUAUAAUGAAGUUUUUUUUUUUAUGUUGUACCAUCUUCUUCAGUUUUUAUACCUGAUUCUGGAAAUUUUUAUGCAAUGAAAUAAAGAAAUUAGCAUAUGCAGUUUCACUCCCUCUUCUUCCCUGUGAAAAAAUCUCUAUGAAUUUUAAUGAUAUUAAUCCUUAAUUUGUUUUGAUUUAUUUGUGGUCAGGAUGAGAAGUGCCUAUUUAUAUCUAAUGGGUUAGUAUUUUCUCCAUUGCUAUCGAUUAGAUGGUGGUGAUUCAAUCAAUCUGUCACUUCUCUAUGAUUAUUCUUUCUUUCAAAAUACACCUACCUAGGUUCGACCUUCCAAAGUGAUGGUUAUCUAUUAAUGUUUUAAUUUUUGGGACAGUGACAAUGCCACAAAGUUUAUGUCCUUGGUUGAUCGUCACAUAACUAUCUUCUUUCCCAAAAGUUGGUAAGCGUAUUGGGGCAGGUUUAUUUAUUUCGUAAUGUUUGAUUUCAUAGUUAAUACUCUUUUAAACUGGAGAAAUGUCUGCAUUUGAUAAUGUUGUUGGUGGAAAGCUGAAACUUAAUGGGAAGGCUCUGGAUGUAAAAGCUGGUGGAGUGAAGAAAAAAAAGAAGCAAAAGAAGCACCACGAGCAAAUUUGUGGAAUGUUAAUGGGUAAGGUUGGGGCACAUUAUUUAUUUUAUUUAUCUUUGUCCUUUUAUGUUCUAAAUUUAUUUAACUACUACUCUUUGUACAAGUUGAGUAAUGGUAACUCAUGUAGACAGUGUACCCCAAUCAUUGGUUUGUCUAGUUGUGUCUGUUGAAGUUAUUGGUGUGCCUAUUUCAUGAGUUAUAACAACUAAAUUGUGAGGACAAUGUUUGGGGAAGGACAGUGGAGAAAAAAUGCUUAUUACAUGUGUAAGUUUUUAUGAAGUAGUUUCAACCUGUUAAGUGAUAGUCUGUUCCUAGAAAAUAUAUCAAUUUUUUCUCUUUGUUUUAGUUGUCAAUGUUAUUUAUGGCGUAUGAAUGAGUGUGAUGAGGGAAAAGAAUAUAUUAUUUGCAUGCAUCUUAUAUUCUAGAUUGAUUUAUAGACUUGGGAUCAUUAACAUCAGAUUUAGAACAUCUGGUUGGGCCAUUAAACUAGGUGCUGCCAAUGAACUUAUGCUAUAUACCCAAAUCUUGAAAUUCUUGGCCUAUACUUGACAUUCCUUCUACUUAUUAAGAUAAAGAUUAUGUGGGUUUGGAAUGCAUCCAGUAAUAUCUGUGCCUGCUAGAAAAAAAAAACAAUAAAUUCAGUGUCAGUCAUCUUGAAUUUAAGGUGCUGCACAUUUACUGAGAUUGCAGAUAAAUAUCUUGGUUUAGUUCUUCGUAGAAUCUGUCAAAGACACUGGAAUCGGAAUAUGCUUGGAAAAUCUCAUCCUCAAAUAAAUUUCCCUGGGGAAACUGUAUGUUCAUUUAGCUAGAGCAAGUUUGAUUUGCUGAUAGAUUCUCGGGUUGUUGAAGUUGUAGACUUUGUUGAUUAAUAUGAUCACAUACUUAGGGGCAUCAACUUCUUAUUUGUGUCUUUAAAAUAGCUUUGUCCAUUUCUGCUGAUGGUGUAUCCAAUCAUCAUUUCAAUAUGUUGGUCUCCCAAAAAUAGUGAUAAAUGGUUGCUGAUUAGUAGUCUAUAAUUCUAAUGUUAAUGCUGUAGCAUGGGAAAAUAUAUGGCUCAGAUGAUGAGAAAUGUUUGAAGUACAUUUCGCAUCUGAUUCAUUAUGCAUCAGCCCUUGAGCAUAAUAAACAUGAAUUUCCAACUUUUCCUUGUAUGUUUUAGCAUAUCGUGCAGCUGGAUGCUUUUGAACGUGGAAAACUUCAUUUCAAGACUCGAUUCUCGUCAAACAAAAAACUUGGUGAAAGUCCUAAAAAUUUAGCAUGUAAGGCGAUUUUACAUUUUCUAUGUUAAUGUCGAUGAAGUUCAAUUAUUUUCCUUAGAAAUGAUUAAAUUUGAUAUAGUUUACAGCAUCUAAUUGAAUAUAUGACGGUGUUGGUGAAUUGUUUCAAGGAUGAAAGUGGUUGGUGAAUACUAGCUCCCGAGCUUUCUUUUUUUGAAAACAUGGUGAAAGUCCUUUGUAGAGUUUCCAAGCUCGACUAAUCAAUUGUCACAUGGCUAAGCUAGAGAUUCAUGACCUUAUUUUGUAAUCAGGAUUUAAGUUUUCUACAACUCAUAUCAAAUCCAUAUAUUGUAAUUGUGAGUUGAAUUACAAUAGUUAUCUUUAUGGCAAUGAUGCGAGUUUUAUGUUUAUUUUUAUCGAGUAAUGAAAUUAUUAUCAAAUUCCAG
This 3220-nucleotide long non-coding RNA is filed under the name Olea europaea subsp. europaea. The record is from RNAcentral. Lineage: Eukaryota; Viridiplantae; Streptophyta; Magnoliopsida; Lamiales; Oleaceae.